GAUGAAGAAUGCAGCGAAAUGCGAUACUUGGUGUGAAUUGCAGAAUCCCGUGAACCAUCGAGUCUUUGAACGCAAGUUGCGCCCGAAGCCACUAGGCCGAGGGCACGCCUGCCUGGGCGUCACACGCCGUUGCCCCCCCAUCUACUCCUUCGGGAUUGCGGGGGGGCGGAUGAUGGCCUCCCGUGCGCCUAGCCGCGCGGUUGGCAUAAAUACCAAGUCCUCGGCGACGCACGCCACGACAAUCGGUGGUUGCGAAACCUCGGUUGCCCGUCGUGUGCGUUCGUCGCGCAUCGAGGGCUCGAAAAAAUGCUCGGCUCCGGCUGGGCUUUCAACGCGACCCCAGGUCAGGCGGGGUUACCCGCUGAAUUUAAGCAUAUCAAUAAGCGGAGGA
Molecule: unclassified non-coding RNA, 391 nt
Filed under: soil metagenome
Description: partial contains 5.8S ribosomal RNA, internal transcribed spacer 2, and large subunit ribosomal RNA
Rfam family: 5.8S ribosomal RNA (bases 1-122)
Source: RNAcentral